Molecule: ribosomal RNA, 490 nt
Filed under: uncultured bacterium
Lineage: Bacteria
Description: partial 16S ribosomal RNA
Rfam family: Bacterial small subunit ribosomal RNA
Source: RNAcentral
AUUGAACGCUGGCGGCAGGCCUAACACAUGCAAGUCGAACGGUAACAGGAAGAAGCUUGCUUCUUUGCUGACGAGUGGCGGACGGGUGAGUAAUGUCUGGGAAACUGCCUGAUGGAGGGGGAUAACUACUGGAAACGGUAGCUAAUACCGCAUAACGUCGCAAGACCAAAGAGGGGGACUUUCGGGCCUCUUGCCAUCGGAUGUGCCCAGAUGGGAUUAGCUAGUAGGUGGGGUAACGGCUCACCUAGGCGCCGCUCCCUAGCUGGUCUGAGAGGAUGGCCAGCCACACUGGAACUGAGACACGGCCCAGACUCCGACGGGAGGCAGCAGUGGGGAAUAUUGCACAAGGGGGGAAAGCCUGAUGCAGCCAUGCCGCGUGUAUGAAGAAGGAGUUCGGGUUGUAAAGUACUUUCAGCGGGGAGGAAGGGAGUAAAGUUAAUACCUUAGCUCAUUGACGGUACCCGCAGAAGAAGCACCGGCUAACUCCGUG